Molecule: long non-coding RNA, 2299 nt
Organism: Mytilus californianus (California mussel)
Lineage: Eukaryota; Metazoa; Mollusca; Bivalvia; Mytilida; Mytilidae
Exons: 3
Source: RefSeq, a predicted model, not a curated record
CAUGACCUUAUUUUGACAAUAGGUUGAUCUCAUCAUGAUGUACUACCAUAUGUGACUGCAUAGGAUUUCAUCAUCCCCUAUGUGAGUUAUAUCCCCUUGAAGCGAUUUCUUUCCUUUGCAUUUUUCUCAAAAAGUAUUAGAGAUAGAAUCGAUUUGAAAACGGCAACAUAUACAGGAACUGAUGGCAAUGUUAAUGAACAUAUAAAAUAAUUUUGUUAUUGACCCUUAUAAGGAGUUAUUUCUCUUAAAAAAAUAUACACAAUUUUUGAAAAAUUGUAUUUCGAGAACCCUAAGUCGUAGAGACUUGGGACCUACACCAAUAAUCUUAAGUUCAUGUGACCUUCAAUUUGCACCCAAGGUCAAAGGUCACAGAGUGCAAAAAAACUUUACGCUGCAAUUUCAAGCUUGCAUAUUAAGAAAACCAUAAGAGUUUGCUGCAUACAUACUGUGUAUAAAAUGUUCCUCUCGACGAGCUCUACAUUUUAUACAUUAAGCUCAAAAAUGUCCGACUGUCUGUUCAAAAGUUACAUUAACAUAAUUCUUAAAACUAUAGUAACAUAUGUAUAUCUUUUAAAAGGUAACAGAUAUCAACCUACUAUAAACUGCAAAGAUGAUCAGUAAUUCAAGGCCUUCAAUUUGAGGUCAAUGUCAGGUCAUGAUGAAAUUUAACCUUGACCUUCAGAGUGUACUAUGACCUUGACCUUGUGACAUUUGAAAGGUCAAGUGGUCCUGAGUUGAAUAGUGGUAGUCCCAUGUCUCUACGACUUCCGAUUCUCAAGUUUGGUAUUGCAUUAUAUAUUUGAUGAUUCAUUAUGACCUUGAUGAACUUCGGAAUUGUCCCAAAUUUUUUUCUGUAAUGUUGUCCUUUUACUGUAGAUCAUUUUACUUUUAUCAUAUUUGAGAUAACUGUUGUCGUUUUAGAGAUAAUGCACUUUGAAAUUUUGCGAGCGGCGGCAUGUAUUUCUGAAUCAACAACAGGUAACCACCUGAUAUUUUCAGAAAAUGAAGAGUUUAACAUGGUUAUAUGUUUGACAAAAUACCAAAAUCUUUCAAUGAAAAAAAACCCCAAAAAAUCAAUUUGAAGUUUUCAUGUUUUGCAUUUACUUUGUAAGUUUCAUAAGUUCUAUUUAUAUAAUUGAUAUUGCAUCAUUUUUGGCACUUUGCCAAAUGGGGUCAUUUGAUAUAUCAAAUUGAAGGUCUUAACGAGCUCUACUCAAAAAUGAAAAUGUUAAACCCCUUUUUCAUCCUAGGGGGAAGGGUGGGGUCAUUUAGUGCAAAAAAUUCAAACUUCUCAGAUGGUUAGGUUGUCGCAUAUCAAAUGAAAGUCCAUAAAGCGUACAUUUCAAAUAUCAAAUUGACGUCCCCAAAAAAUGGGUUGGGUGGGGUCAUUGAGUGCAAAAAAUAAAAUUUUCUUUUAAGGCAAGUUUGUUGUAUUUCAAAUGAAAGGUCGUAACAUGUACAUUUCAAAUAUCAGAUUCCUGUCCUCAAAAAAUGAGUUGGAUGGGGUUAUUUAGUGCAAAAAUCAAACUUUCUAGAACAUGGCGUUGUCGCAUAUCAAAUGAAAGAUCAUAAAGUCUAGAUUACAUAUAUCAUACUUCCGAUCUCGAAAAUUAAGGCGGAUGGGGUCAUUAAGUGUAAAAAGCAAAAAGUUUCAGAAGGUAUGCUUGUCGUAUAUCAAAUGAAAGGUCGUACAAAGUACAUUACGAAAACAUCACUUUAACAGGAAAGACCUUUCAAUUGUUUUACAAACAAUUGAGAUACUAGUUCUUUUUCUUUUUCUUUUUUUUUUUUCUUUUUUUUCUUCCAACAUUUUUUUAACAUGCCCUACCCCCGUUUCUGUUGAAGUUAUCAAGACCAAAUAUGGACCAUCGAUAGACCUCAUCAUGAAGUAUAACCAGAUGACCCUGUUAAGGAUUUCAUCAACCCCUUUAGAAGUUAUCUCCCUUUUAUUGGUUUUUUUCGACAUGGCCCCCCCUCGUUGUUUUUUAAGAUAACAUGUCUUUUUGUGGGCAAUAGGUAGAUCUCAUUUUGGUGUAUUACCAUAUGAGGCUGCGUAGAAUUUCAUUAUCCCUUUUGAGAGUUAUAUCCCUUUGAAGCAAUUUCUUUUAUUUGCUUUUUUUUUCAAAAGUGUUAGAGAUAGAAUCGAUUUGAAAAUGGCAGCAUGUACAAGAACACAUGACAAUGUUAAUAAACAUAAACAAUUAUUUUGAUAUUAACCUUUAUAAGGAGUGAUUCCCCUUUAAAAAUUAUACACAAUUUAAAAAAAAUUCUAUUUCGAGAACUGGAAGUCGUAGAAACU